This 470-nucleotide ribosomal RNA is filed under the name uncultured bacterium. RNAcentral describes it as "bacterial SSU rRNA". It matches the Rfam family "Bacterial small subunit ribosomal RNA", at positions 8 to 522 of the family's 1533-position model. The record is from RNAcentral.
AGAGUUUGAUCAUGGCUCAGAGCGAACGCUGGCGGCAGGCUUAAUACAUGCAAGUCGAGCGCCUGUAGCAAUACAGGAGCGGCAGACGGGAGAGUAACACGUGGGAACGUGCCCUUUGGUUCGGAACAACACAGGGAAACUUGUGCUAAUACCGGAUAAGCCCUUACGGGGAAAGAUUUAUUGCCAAAGGAUCGGCCCGCGUCUGAUUAGCUAGUUGGUGGGGUAAUGGCCCACCAAGGCGACGAUCAGUAGCUGGUCUGAGAGGAUGAUCAGCCUCAUUGGGACUGAGACACGGCCCAAACUCCUACGGGAGGCAGCAGUAGGGAAUAUUGGACAAUGGGCGCAAGCCUGAUCCAGCCAUGCCGCGUGAGUGAUGAAGGCCUUAGGGUUGUAAAGCUCUUUCGGCGGGGAAGAUAAUGACGGUACCCGCAUAAGAAGCCCCGGCUAACUUCGUGCCAGCCGCCGCGGUA